GAGUUUGAUCCUGGCUCAGAUUGAACGCUGGCGGCAUGCCUUACACAUGCAAGUCGAACGGCAGCACGGGAGCUUGCUCCUGGUGGCGAGUGGCGAACGGGUGAGUAAUGCAUCGGAACGUAUCCUGGAGUGGGGGAUAACGUAGCGAAAGUUACGCUAAUACCGCAUAUUCUGUGAGCAGGAAAGCGGGGGACCUUCGGGCCUCGCGCUCUUGGAGCGGCCGAUGUCGGAUUAGCUAGUUGGUGAGGUAAAGGCUCACCAAGGCGACGAUCCGUAGCAGGUCUGAGAGGAUGAUCUGCCACACUGGAACUGAGACACGGUCCAGACUCCUACGGGAGGCAGCA
This 344-nucleotide ribosomal RNA is filed under the name bacterium enrichment culture clone ALO1_GLFRUDD03FP7Q0. Its description in RNAcentral is "bacterial SSU rRNA". It matches the Rfam family "Bacterial small subunit ribosomal RNA", at positions 9 to 353 of the family's 1533-position model. The record is from RNAcentral.